AACGCACCUUGCGCUCCUUGGUAUUCCGAGGAGCAUGCCUGUUUGAGUGUCAUUAAUAUAUAUCAACCUUCUCAUUUAUGAGUGGUUUGGAUGUGGGGGUUUGCUGGCCUCUUAAAUGAGUUCAGCUCCUCUGAAAUGCAUUAGCAGAACAAUCUUGUUCAUUGGCGUGAUAACUAUCUACGCUAUUGAAUGUGAGGGACAGUUCAGCUUUCUAACAGUCCUUGGACAACUUAUCAUUAAUGUGACCUCAAAUCAGGUAGGACUACCCGCUGAACUUAA
RNAcentral lists this unclassified non-coding RNA (279 nucleotides) under Inocybe sp. RNAcentral describes it as "partial contains 5.8S ribosomal RNA, internal transcribed spacer 2, and large subunit ribosomal RNA". The stretch from base 1 to 52 matches the Rfam family "5.8S ribosomal RNA", at positions 103 to 154 of the family's 154-position model. Lineage: Eukaryota; Fungi; Basidiomycota; Agaricomycetes; Agaricales; Inocybaceae. The record is from RNAcentral.